CCUACGGGGGGCAGCAGUGGGGAAUAUUGGACAAUGGGGGGAACCCUGAUCCAGCGACGCCGCGUGAGUGAAGAAGUAUUUCGGUAUGUAAAGCUCUAUCAGCAGGGAAGAAGAAGACGGUACCUGACUAAGAAGCCCCGGCUAACUACGUGCCAGCAGCCGCGGUAAUACGUAGGGGGCAAGCGUUAUCCGGAUUUACUGGGUGUAAAGGGAGCGUAGACGGUACAGCAAGUCUGAUGUGAAAGGUCGGGGCCCAACCCCGGGACUGCAUUGGAAACUGUUGGACUGGAGUACAGGAGAGGUAAGCGGAAUUCCUAGUGUAGCGGUGAAAUGCGUAGAUAUUAGGAGGAACACCAGUGGCGAAGGCGGCUUACUGGACUGUAACUGACGUUGAGGCUCGAAAGCGUGGGGAGCAAACAGGAUUAGAUACCCUGGUAG
Molecule: ribosomal RNA, 438 nt
Filed under: uncultured bacterium
Lineage: Bacteria
Description: bacterial SSU rRNA
Rfam family: Bacterial small subunit ribosomal RNA
Source: RNAcentral